ACGGAGAAGGCUAUGUUGGCCGGGCGACGGUUGUCCCGGUUUAAGCGUGUAGGCUGGUUUUCCAGGCAAAUCCGGAAAAUCAAGGCUGAGGCGUGAUGACGAGGCACUACGGUGCUGAAGCAACAAAUGCCCUGCUUCCAGGAAAAGCCUCUAAGCAUCAGGUAACAUCAAAUCGUACCCCAAACCGACACAGGUGGUCAGGUAGAGAAUACCAAGGCGCUUGAGAGAACUCGGGUGAAGGAACUAGGCAAAAUGGUGCCGUAACUUCGGGAGAAGGCACGCUGAUAUGUAGGUGARGUCCCUCGCGGAUGGAGCUGAAAUCAGUCGAAGAUACCAGCUGGCUGCAACUGUUUAUUAAAAACACAGCACUGUGCAAACACGAAAGUGGACGUAUACGGUGUGACGCCUGCCCGGUGCCGGAAGGUUAAUUGAUGGGGUUAGCGGUAACGCGAAGCUCUUGAUCGAAGCCCCGGUAAACGGCGGCCGUAACUAUAACGGUCCUAAGGUAGCGAAAUUCCUUGUCGGGUAAGUUCCGACCUGCACGAAUGGCGUAAUGAUGGCCAGGCUGUCUCCACCCGAGACUCAGUGAAAUUGAACUCGCUGUGAAGAUGCAGUGUACCCGCGGCAAGACGGAAAGACCCCGUGAACCUUUACUAUAGCUUGACACUGAACAUUGAGCCUUGAUGUGUAGGAUAGGUGGGAGGCUUUGAAGUGUGGACGCCAGUCUGCAUGGAGCCGGCCUUGAAAUACCACCCUUUAAUGUUUGAUGUUCUAACGUUGGCCCCUGAUCGGGGUUGCGGACAGUGUCUGGUGGGUAGUUUGACUGGGGCGGUCUCCUCCUAAAGAGUAACGGAGGAGCACGAAGGUUGGCUAAUCCUGGUCGGACAUCAGGAGGUUAGUGCAAUGGCAUAAGCCAGCUUGACUGCGAGCGUGACGGCGCGAGCAGGUGCGAAAGCAGGUCAUAGUGAUCCGGUGGUUCUGAAUGGAAGGGCCAUCGCUCAACGGAUAAAAGGUACUCCGGGGAUAACAGGCUGAUACCGCCCAAGAGUUCAUAUCGACGGCGGUGUUUGGCACCUCGAUGUCGGCUCAUCACAUCCUGGGGCUGAAGUAGGUCCCAAGGGUAUGGCUGUUCGCCAUUUAAAGUGGUACGCGAGCUGGGUUUAGAACGUCGUGAGACAGUUCGGUCCCUAUCUGCCGUGGGCGCUGGAGAACUGAGGGGGGCUGCUCCUAGUACGAGAGGACCGGAGUGGACGCAUCACUGGUGUUCGGGUUGUCAUGCCAAUGGCACUGCCCGGUAGCUAAAUGCGGAAGAGAUAAGUGCUGAAAGCAUCUAAGCACGAAACUUGCCCCGAGAUGAGUUCUCCCUGACUCCUUGAGAGUCCUGAAGGAACGUUGAAGACGACGACGUUGAUAGGCCGGGUGUGUAAGCGCAGCGAUGCGUUGAGCUAACCGGUACUAAUGAACCGUGAGGCUUAACCUUACAACGCCGAAG
RNAcentral lists this ribosomal RNA (1492 nucleotides) under Escherichia coli. RNAcentral describes it as "bacterial LSU rRNA". It matches the Rfam family "Bacterial large subunit ribosomal RNA", at positions 1473 to 2925 of the family's 2925-position model. Lineage: Bacteria; Pseudomonadati; Pseudomonadota; Gammaproteobacteria; Enterobacterales; Enterobacteriaceae. The record is from RNAcentral.